GACGAACGCUGGCGGCGUGCUUAACACAUGCCAGUCGAACGGAAAGACCCUGCUAUUGUGGGGUGCUCGAGUGGCGAUCGGGUGAGUAACACGUGAGUAACCUGCCCUUGACUUUGGUAUAACUUCAGGAAACUGGGGCUAAUACCGGAUAGGAGCUCCUGCUGCAUGGUGGGCGUUGGAACGUUUCGGCGGUUGGGGAUGGACUCGCGGCUUAUCAGCUUGUUGGUGGGGUAGUGGCUUACCAAGGCUGUGACGGGUAGCCGGCCUGAGAGGGUGAUCGGUCACAUGGGUACUAAGAAAAGCCUCAGUAUCGAAAGGGGGGCAACAGUGGAGAGAAGUAGACGAGGGGAGGAAGAGGGAUGUAUCAGCGUCGCGUGCGCGAGGACUGGCUGCUGUGGGUAAACCGCCUACGCUUGAUACGACGCGAGAUUGACGGUAACGGGUAAAUAAGCACCGGCUAACUACGUG
This 468-nucleotide ribosomal RNA is filed under the name uncultured bacterium. RNAcentral describes it as "partial 16S ribosomal RNA". It matches the Rfam family "Bacterial small subunit ribosomal RNA", at positions 28 to 507 of the family's 1533-position model. The record is from RNAcentral.